Long non-coding RNA from Peromyscus californicus insignis, 789 nucleotides. RefSeq lists it as uncharacterized. Lineage: Eukaryota; Metazoa; Chordata; Mammalia; Rodentia; Cricetidae. The transcript is spliced from 3 exons. The record is from RefSeq and is a predicted model, not a curated record.
CUAGCUGGGAAGAGGGGUAUGGUUACCACAGCGCCCCUCCUCUCCCAGCUCUAUGGAUUUCACAGAAGGGAAUGCACUCCCUUUCAGGGGGCAUAGGCACAGGACCCUCAGAUGGGGCGUGCCCUUACAGUGCCCCGCCUCUCAGUCCCGUAGCGUCCUGCCCAUCAGUCCUUCGAAAACCCUGAAGGUGCCAUGCUUGAGGUUCGUCCUGGAGGAGCCUCACGGAGCGGGUGUCCGAAAGUGGAGCGUGGCCAAGACUGCAGAGAAGGGAGUCGGACGUGUAGGGUUUCUCUGUGUAGUUUUGGUGCCUUUCCAGGAUCUCACUCUGCUGACCAGAUCUGCCUGGCUCUGCCUCCCAAGGGCUGGAAUUAAAGGCGCACACAACCACUGCCAGGCUCCUCCUUUGGUUUUAUGCAGCCCCUACUUUGACUUGUAUCUGUCUCCUGCCCUGCAAUUCUGGGGAUGGAACUUCGAUCCUUGUGCAUGCAUGCUUGGGCCACCAUGUGCACUAUGUGAUGCUGUAGUGUCCCCGGCUUGCAUCAUCAUGUGUGUGGUGACCAAAGAUGAUGACAGGUGGUAUCAUGUGCAGUGGGCCACAUGGAAUGGACCCAACAUGAGAGUAGAUGGUGUGUGAGAAAAUCUGGCUGCAGUCCCUGCUGACCUCUGUGGGGGGCAUCUGCAGGAGCCAGGGGAAGGGUGGGAGACUCUGGUUGCUAGAUACUGCUGGCUGCUGGGUGGUAGAAGGGAUCACCCAUGAGGGACCAGGGCAUGUGGGCCAGCUGAGGAAGC